UUUCGCAAUGCCCGAAAGGGUGACGAAGCGACGCCGCGUGCGGGAAGAAGGCCUUCGGGUUGUAAACCGCUGUCGGGAGUUAAGAAAUGUAAGGAUGUUAAUAGCAUCUUUGCUUGACUAAGGCUCCGGAGGAAGCCACGGCUAACUCUGUGCCAGCAGCCGCGGUAAUACAGAGGCGGCAAGCGUUGUUCGGAAUUAUUGGGCGUAAAGAGCACGUAGGCGGCUAUGUAAGUCGGUUGUGAAAGCCUUCCGCUCAACGGGAGAACAGCAUCCGAUACUGCAUGGCUUGAGUGCGGGAGGGGAGAGUGGAACUUCUGGUGGAGCGGUGAAAUGCGUAGAUAUCAGAAGGAACGCCGGCGGCGAAAGCGGCUCUCUGGCCCAUAACUGACGCUGAGUGUGCGAAAGCUAGGGGAGCAAACGGGAUUAGAUACCCCGGUAGUCCUAACUGUAAACGAUGGGCACUAAGUAGAGGGGUUUUA
RNAcentral lists this ribosomal RNA (479 nucleotides) under uncultured anaerobic ammonium-oxidizing bacterium. RNAcentral describes it as "bacterial SSU rRNA". It matches the Rfam family "Bacterial small subunit ribosomal RNA", at positions 364 to 833 of the family's 1533-position model. The record is from RNAcentral.